CUGGGCUGCUGAAGUGGAAUGUGAGAACUUAACCACUACACCAUCAGGCCAGCCCUUCAACAACUCUUAACAAAUCUUUGUAAUCUACAAGGAACAAGAAAGCUGAGCGCUCCCUUUACACCACACUCUGAAUUAAGUAAGCCACCACAGUCCUUCGGUUCUAACGCAGCACUUCCACGGCUCCUGGAAAGACUAAUGAAGCCCAAGCAUAUUCAUGACAGUUCAAAAGAAGUCCCAUGAGCCCACUUACACUCCUUAUGCAGCACGCGUUUUUCAAAGGUUGACUUAUUUUUAGUGCAUGGCACUGGCUCUCUUUCAAAGGCUCUGUAUUA
Molecule: long non-coding RNA, 332 nt
Filed under: Equus asinus (donkey)
Lineage: Eukaryota; Metazoa; Chordata; Mammalia; Perissodactyla; Equidae
Description: lncRNA (ENSEASG00005026891.1)
Source: RNAcentral